UCCGGUUUGUCACCGACAGUCUCCUUAGAGUUCCCGCCAUUACGCGCUGGCAACUAAGGACAAGGGUUGCGCUCGUUGCGGGACUUAACCCAACAUCUCACGACACGAGCUGACGACAGCCAUGCAGCACCUGUGUUCCCGCCAGCCGAACUGAAGAAUGAGGUCUCCCCCACCCACACGGGACAUGUCAAGGGCUGGUAAGGUUCUUCGCGUUGCGUCGAAUUAAACCACAUGCUCCACCGCUUGUACGGGCCCCCGUCAAUUCCUUUGAGUUUUAGCCUUGCGGCCGUACUCCCCAGGCGGGGCACUUAAUGCGUUAGCUACGGCACAGAUCCCGUUGGUUGAGACCCACACCUAGUGCCCAACGUUUACGGCGUGGACUAC
RNAcentral lists this unclassified non-coding RNA (384 nucleotides) under uncultured bacterium. RNAcentral's name for it is "contains 16S-23S intergenic spacer region". The record is from RNAcentral.